CAAUAGCGUAUAUUAAAGUUGUUGCAGUUAAAAAGCUCGUAGUUGGAUUUCUGGUGGGAGCGAUCGGUCUGGCGCUUAGCGCGAGUACUUGCAUCGUCUCCGGCCAUCCUUGGGGAGAGUCUGUCUGGCAUUAGGUUGUCGGGCAGAGGAUCCUCAUCGUUUACUGUGAAAAAAUUAGAGUGUUCAAAGCAGGCUUAUGCCGUUGAAUAUAUUAGCAUGGAAUAAUAAGAUAGGACUUUGGUACUAUUUUGUUGGUUUGCGCACCAAAGUAAUGAUUAAUAGGGACAGUUGGGGGUAUUCGUAUUCCGUUGUCAGAGGUGAAAUUCUUGGAUUUACGGAGGACGAACUACUGCGAAAGCAUUUACCAAGGAUGUUUUCAUUAA
This 383-nucleotide ribosomal RNA is filed under the name uncultured eukaryote. Its description in RNAcentral is "partial 18S ribosomal RNA". It matches the Rfam family "Eukaryotic small subunit ribosomal RNA", at positions 592 to 976 of the family's 1831-position model. The record is from RNAcentral.